GCCUACGGGAGGCAGCAGUGAGGAAUAUUGGUCAAUGGGAGAGAUCCUGAACCAGUCAAGCCGCGUGAGGGAAGACGGCCCUAUGGGUUGUAAACCUCUUUUGUCGGAGAACAAAACCCGGGACGUGUCCCGGACUGCGUGUAUCCGAAGAAAAAGCAUCGGCUAACUCCGUGCCAGCAGCCGCGGUAAUACGGAGGAUGCGAGCGUUAUCCGGAUGUAUUGGGUUUAAAGGGUGCGUAGGCGGUCCGUUAAGUCAGCGGCAAAAUUGCGUGGCUCACCACUGUCGAG
This 288-nucleotide ribosomal RNA is filed under the name uncultured bacterium. RNAcentral's name for it is "partial 16S ribosomal RNA". It matches the Rfam family "Bacterial small subunit ribosomal RNA", at positions 337 to 623 of the family's 1533-position model. The record is from RNAcentral.